RNAcentral lists this transfer RNA (75 nucleotides) under Christensenellaceae bacterium. RNAcentral's name for it is "tRNA-Glu". It matches the Rfam family "tRNA". From Rfam's summary of the family: Transfer RNA (tRNA) molecules are approximately 80 nucleotides in length. Their secondary structure includes four short double-helical elements and three loops (D, anti-codon, and T loops). The record is from RNAcentral. Lineage: Bacteria; Bacillati; Bacillota; Clostridia; Christensenellales; Christensenellaceae.
GGCGCUAUAGUAUAGUGGUUAGUACGCUGGCCUCUCACGCCGGUAACCCGGGUUCGAACCCCGGUAGCGUCACCA